GCGAAGGUGGCGGAAUUGGUAGACGCGCUAGCUUCAGGUGCUUAGUGUCCGUUACGGACGUGGGGGUUCAAGUCCCCCCCCUCGCACCA
Molecule: transfer RNA, 89 nt
Filed under: Salmonella enterica subsp. enterica serovar Heidelberg
Lineage: Bacteria; Pseudomonadati; Pseudomonadota; Gammaproteobacteria; Enterobacterales; Enterobacteriaceae
Description: tRNA-Leu
Rfam family: tRNA
About the family: Transfer RNA (tRNA) molecules are approximately 80 nucleotides in length.
Source: RNAcentral